RNAcentral lists this small nuclear RNA (103 nucleotides) under Zalophus californianus (California sea lion). Lineage: Eukaryota; Metazoa; Chordata; Mammalia; Carnivora; Otariidae. RNAcentral also lists the same sequence under 1 other name. The record is from RNAcentral.
AUGCUCAUUCAGCAGCACAUAUACUAAAAUUGGAGCGAUACAAAGAUUAGCAUGGCCCCUGAGCAAGGAUGACAUGCAAAUUCAUGAAGCGAUCCAAAUUAAA